UACGUAGGGUCCGAGCGUUGUCCGGAAUUACUGGGCGUAAAGGGCUCGUAGGUGGCCAACUAAGUCAGACGUGAAAUCCCUCGGCUUAACCGGGGAACUGCGUCUGAUACUGGAUGGCUUGAGUUUGGGAGAGGGACGCGGAAUUCCAGGUGUAGCGGUGAAAUGCGUAGAUAUCUGGAGGAACACCGGUGGCGAAGGCGGCGUCCUGGACCAACACUGACACUGAGGAGCGAAAGCCAGGGGAGCAAACGGG
Molecule: ribosomal RNA, 253 nt
Filed under: uncultured bacterium
Lineage: Bacteria
Description: partial 16S ribosomal RNA
Rfam family: Bacterial small subunit ribosomal RNA
Source: RNAcentral